RNAcentral lists this ribosomal RNA (412 nucleotides) under uncultured bacterium. Its description in RNAcentral is "bacterial SSU rRNA". It matches the Rfam family "Bacterial small subunit ribosomal RNA", at positions 133 to 518 of the family's 1533-position model. The record is from RNAcentral.
UAAAGCCGGGACAACCCUUGGAAACGAGGGCUAAUACCGGAUAAGUCUUAGAGAGUGGCAUCACUCUUUAAGGAAAGAUGGCCUCUAGAGAAUGCUAUCGAUUAUGGAUGGACCCGCGUCUGAUUAGCUAGUUGGUGGGGUAAAGGCCUACCAAGGCGACGAUCAGUAGCCGGCCUGAGAGGGUGAACGGCCACCACUGGGACUGAGACACGGCCCAGACUCCUACGGGAGGGCAGCAGUGGGGAAUCUUCCGCAAUGGACGAAAGUCUGACGGAGCAACGCCGCGUGUAUUGAUGAAGGUCUUCGGAUUGUAAAGUACUGUCUUUGGGGAAGAAUGGUCUCUUUGAAAAUAUUGAGGAGACAUGACGGUACCCAAGGAGGAAGCCCCGGCUAACUACGUGCCAGCCGCCGC